CGGGGUUUAGUGGCGCACGGGUGCGUAACGCGUGGGAAUCUGCCCUUAGGUUCGGAAUAACAGUUAGAAAUGACUGCUAAUACCGGAUGAUGACGUAAGUCCAAAGAUUUAUCGCCUAGGGAUGAGCCCGCGUAGGAUUAGCUAGUUGGUGUGGUAAAGGCGCACCAAGGCGACGAUCCUUAGCUGGUCUGAGAGGAGGAUCAGCCACACUGGGACUGAGACACGGCCCAGACUCCUACGGGAGGCAGCAGUGGGGAAUAUUGGACAAUGGGCGAAAGCCUGAUCCAGCAAUGCCGCGUGAGUGAUGAAGGCCUUAGGGUUGUAAAGCUCUUUUACCCGGGAUGAUAAUGACAGUACCGGGAGAAUAAGCCCCGGCUAACUCCGUG
Molecule: ribosomal RNA, 386 nt
Filed under: Sphingomonas sp.
Lineage: Bacteria; Pseudomonadati; Pseudomonadota; Alphaproteobacteria; Sphingomonadales; Sphingomonadaceae
Description: bacterial SSU rRNA
Rfam family: Bacterial small subunit ribosomal RNA
Source: RNAcentral